GCGGCGGCGGCAGCGGCCUGGCAGCUGCUGUCUGUCGAAGCCAGUGAGGGAGAGGGAGAAGGAAAGAGAGAUGGGGCGGAGGCGGCGUCGUGUGUGGCGUCGUCGCUGCCGGAAAUUUAAGGUAGGGUCGAUCUAGAUUUUGGGGAUCUAGGGCUCCAGUGGGAUUUAGAGAGAGAGGAAGGUUAGGAGGGGAGUGAGGUGAUUUAGGGCUUGGGUUUGGGCGAGCGGCGGCGGCGGUGGUUGCAAUGCCGCUGCGGCCGCCGGAUUUCAGAGGGAGUCGGCGGCCUAAGGUGGUGCGUCGUGUGUGUAUUCCGUGGGAGAGAGACGAGAGAGAGAGGUCAGAGGGUGGCGUGGCGUUGACCGGGGUUCCCAGCGGUUGCUGCUACGCCGGAGGAGGGCCGGCGUUGGCCGGAGAUGAGGGAGAAGAGAAGGGGAGCCGGUGGGGAGGGGGGGUGUGUCUGCGCUGGUGUGUGUGUGUCUGCGCUGGUGUGUGUGUGUGUGAUGUGUGAGUAGUGUGUGAUUGUGUGUGUGCGUGUGUUUUAAAGAAGAAGAAGAAAAUGAUUUGGGCCUAUUUUAUUUCUUCAUGUUGGGCCGCUUUUAAUUAAACUCUGGG
This 613-nucleotide long non-coding RNA is filed under the name Salvia miltiorrhiza (redroot sage). RNAcentral's name for it is "long non-coding RNA (SMIL_LNC012288)". Lineage: Eukaryota; Viridiplantae; Streptophyta; Magnoliopsida; Lamiales; Lamiaceae. The record is from RNAcentral.